GGGCCAUUCUAUACGGAGCGAUCGAGAUAGGUGCCUUACCAGGGACCAACUCGAUACGAAAUUCAACUUCCCUAGCUGGUGGUAAUCCAGGUAACUCUUUCGGGAACACAUCUAUAAACUCACAAACCACUGGUACUGAUUCAAUCUUCGACUCAGACACUUGGGUAUUCAACACAAAAGCUAGGUAAGCCUCAUAUCCUUUUCUCAAAUACUUCUCAGCAAUCAAAGACAAUACU
RNAcentral lists this long non-coding RNA (236 nucleotides) under Gossypium barbadense (sea-island cotton). Its description in RNAcentral is "long non-coding RNA (GBAR_LNC009143)". Lineage: Eukaryota; Viridiplantae; Streptophyta; Magnoliopsida; Malvales; Malvaceae. The record is from RNAcentral.